CCUACGGGAGGCAGCAGUGAGGAAUAUUGGUCAAUGGACGAGAGUCUGAACCAGCCAAGUAGCGUGAAGGAUGACUGCCCUAUGGGUUGUAAACUUCUUUUAUAUGGGAAUAAAACGUUCCACGUGUGGGAUUUUGUAUGUACCAUAUGAAUAAGGAUCGGCUAACUCCGUGCCAGCAGCCGCGGUAAGACGGAGGAUCCGAGCGUUAUCCGGAUUUAUUGGGUUUAAAGGGAGCGUAGGUGGAUUGUUAAGUCAGUUGUGAAAGUUUGCGGCUCAACCGUAAAAUUGCAGUUGAAACUGGCAGUCUUGAGUACAGUAGAGGUGGGCGGAAUUCGUGGUGUAGCGGUGAAAUGCUUAGAUAUCACGAAGAACUCCGAUUGCGAAGGCAGUUCACUGGACUGCAACUGACACUGAGGCUCGAAAGUGUGGGUAUCAAACAGGAUUAGAUACCCGUGUAGUC
This 460-nucleotide ribosomal RNA is filed under the name uncultured bacterium. RNAcentral's name for it is "partial 16S ribosomal RNA". It matches the Rfam family "Bacterial small subunit ribosomal RNA", at positions 338 to 795 of the family's 1533-position model. The record is from RNAcentral.